GACGAACGCUGGCGGCGUGCUUAACACAUGCAAGUCGAACGGAAAGGCCCCUUCGGGGGUACUCGAGUGGCGAACGGGUGAGUAACACGUGAGUAACCUGCCCUUGACUUCGGGAUAACUUCAGGAAACUGGGGCUAAUACCGGAUAGGAAUCCUUGCUGCAUGGAGGGGGUUGGAAAGCUUCGGCGGUUUUGGAUGGACUCGCGGCUUAUCAGCUUGUUGGUGGGGUAGUGGCUUACCAAGGCUUUGACGGGUAGCCGGCCUGAGAGGGCGACCGGCCACAUUGGGACUGAGAUACGGCCCAGACUCCUACGGGAGGCAGCAGUGGGGAAUAUUGCACAAUGGGCGGAAGCCUGAUGCAGCAACGCCGCGUGCGGGAUGACGGCCUUCGGGUUGUAAACCGCUUUCAGCAGGGGCGAAGCUUGUGGUGACGGUACCUGCAGAAGAAGCACCGGCUAACUACGUG
This 465-nucleotide ribosomal RNA is filed under the name uncultured bacterium. RNAcentral's name for it is "partial 16S ribosomal RNA". It matches the Rfam family "Bacterial small subunit ribosomal RNA", at positions 28 to 507 of the family's 1533-position model. The record is from RNAcentral.